Stentor coeruleus is the source of this 73-nucleotide non-coding RNA. The record is from Rfam. Lineage: Eukaryota; Ciliophora; Heterotrichea; Heterotrichida; Stentoridae.
GCCGGGAUAGCUCAGUUGGGAGAGCGCAAGACUGAAGAUCUUGCGGUCCUGGGUUCAAUCCCCAGUCACGGCA